RNAcentral lists this transfer RNA (91 nucleotides) under Trueperaceae bacterium. RNAcentral describes it as "tRNA-Ser". It matches the Rfam family "tRNA". From Rfam's summary of the family: Transfer RNA (tRNA) molecules are approximately 80 nucleotides in length. Lineage: Bacteria; Thermotogati; Deinococcota; Deinococci; Trueperales; Trueperaceae. The record is from RNAcentral. RNAcentral also lists the same sequence under 1 other name.
GGAGAGGUGCCGGAGUGGUUGAACGGGACGGUCUCGAAAACCGUUGUAUCGCUAUGCGGUACCGUGGGUUCGAAUCCCACCCUCUCCGCCA